GCUUUCAAUUAACAGGGGAAUUCCCUGUACGAGUUUUUUUGUAUAAAAUACAUAAAAUACAUUGGUUAAAUACAUUGGUUAUAAAUACAUAAAAAUAUAUAAAAUCUACAGUUAGAAUAGAGUUGAUUUACCAUUUGGACGAAGUAUGGAUCAAACAACAGCCUCGUACAUCGCGCUUAUACGAAUACAUUGCACUAACAGCGCAUCAAAUAUUACACCAUUGCCACUGGCAACCGAUCUAUUUAUGGAAAAGGUUAGUUUGCUGACCUCUGAAUGACAUUUCGUUAAAACGUUUUACUUCAAGGUUGGUUUAGAAACAGAUUAUGGUAAUAUGGUUAGGGUUAGAGUUGGUGUUUGGAAUAGGGUUAGGGUAGGGUUAGUGUUACGUUUUGUCACGCUGAGGUCGGCGAAAUAACCUCUUCCUCUAUUUAUAGGGAGCUUUCGUUAGUCCGGAUGUAACUAUCUGAAAAAUGUAAGUAGAAAUUCGACGUUUCGAGCGAAGGCCCUUCGUCUGACUUUAGUAGCGGGAUCGGGAAAACUACAUGAGCUUUUUUGCACCAAGUUCUUUCCAGCCCACUUCGAUUAGGUGGUCGAAAACCCUGACAAAAUCGUGUUUAAACCAUGCAGUCUCCAAGCCAAGGGCAGACAUCUCUCAUAAACAUGUGUCGAUUUCUAUUAAACAAGGUAAAACUCGUAAAAGGAGGUUGAUGUCGAAAAACAUCAAUGUUGAAAAAUUUGGUGCAUUUACUGAAGUUGGAAACGAAAAUACCAUUCGCUCCGUUCCAGCUAGAGAAAAAUGGUCUGAAGCGAGUCUGUGCAACGUUGUCCUUAGGCAGGGUGUGUGGGGGGGGGGGGGGGGGGGGGGGGCAAUAUUGCAAGCUAUCAUGAGCGUGCAUAUAAAAUGAUAAUAAAAUGGCUUGUUUUGAUAAAAGUUUUGAUAAAGUUUUUACUACUAAUCUAUUACUAUUACUAUUACUAUUUGAUGGGAUAGACUGGCUUAUAUGAACAGUACUCGUACAUACAAAUGAACUAUGGCCUAUGCUGAAUUGCAAAUCCAGCCUCAGAGUUUUAACUCGUAUAUAGUCUAUUUUGGUUAAAUUUCGCGCGCACUAAUUCUUCCGUGCACAAAGCUUCGGUAGCCUUACUCCAUUGAACCAAUUCCGUGAAAUGAUAAUCGCUUGCAAGACAUUCAGCUUUCUUGGCGUAUUUAAAGGCAUUGCGCAAAAAGCGAGUUCUUUCGUCAGGACUGACUUGUGAACGUCGAUAAUUGUAAAUGGAAAGUACCAAACUGAGCUGAACUUCAUGAUACCUACUCAGUGGCUGUCCUUCAUCAGCGGAUUCAUGUACAGCCAUUAUACUCGCCCUUGCUUUAUCCAUGUCUGAAAUGUCUACAUUACCCCUGAUGCGCCGUCCACUUAUAUUACGGCCAAGGUAAAAAGUGGCCAAAGUUAUAUACGCCUUCUGCUCCAUAUCUUCAAGGACUUUGGAUUGAUCUGGAACACAUCGUAAAUGUUCCAGAGCUCUUAUUGAAAAAACAUCAGGCGAACAUGUUGGGUCUUCUGAAUUUAUCAAGUUAGUCACAGUUCCAGCAAAAACGUAUACUAUUGCUGUUACCAGGCCUGGUUCAAUCAGUUCUGCCUUGGACAAAGCUGCAGUCAAUAAUCCUCUGAGGCCUUGAAAAUCUCCACUUGCACGUUUUAGAGCUACUUGUAAGUACAAUCCCAUCACCUCGAAGAACAAGCGAUCUUCUGCUUGCGGUAAAAUGGCGUUGUACUGUUCGAGAAAGGCACGUGCUUUUGCGAAACUACCUCUACGGCAACACGCGGUGACUUGUUUGGACAAAACCAAUAACUUCA
This 1856-nucleotide long non-coding RNA is filed under the name Paramuricea clavata. The record is from RNAcentral. Lineage: Eukaryota; Metazoa; Cnidaria; Anthozoa; Malacalcyonacea; Plexauridae.